Molecule: small RNA, 29 nt
Filed under: Bombyx mori (domestic silkworm)
Lineage: Eukaryota; Metazoa; Arthropoda; Insecta; Lepidoptera; Bombycidae
Description: ovarian small RNA-6596
Source: RNAcentral
UAUCGGUCGUCGAUGCGGCAGAUGCUGUA